Molecule: ribosomal RNA, 758 nt
Filed under: uncultured bacterium
Lineage: Bacteria
Description: bacterial SSU rRNA
Rfam family: Bacterial small subunit ribosomal RNA
Source: RNAcentral
ACACAUGCAGUCGAGCGGAGUGAUGGUGCUUGCACUAUCACUUAGCGGCGGACGGGUGAGUAAUGCUUAGGAAUCUGCCUAUUAGUGGGGGACAACAUUUCGAAAGGAAUGCUAAUACCGCAUACGCCCUACGGGGGAAAGCAGGGGACCUUCGGGCCUUGCGCUAAUAGAUGAGCCUAAGUCAGAUUAGCUAGUUGGUGGGGUAAAGGCCUACCAAGGCGACGAUCUGUAGCGGGUCUGAGAGGAUGAUCCGCCACACUGGGACUGAGACACGGCCCAGACUCCUACGGGAGGCAGCAGUGGGGAAUAUUGGACAAUGGGGGAAACCCUGAUCCAGCCAUGCCGCGUGUGUGAAGAAGGCCUUUUGGUUGUAAAGCACUUUAAGCGAGGAGGAGGCUACUUAGAUUAAUACUCUAGGAUAGUGGACGUUACUCGCAGAACAAGCACCGGCUAACUCUGUGCCAGCAGCCGCGGUAAUACAGAGGGUGCGAGCGUUAAUCGGAUUUACUGGGCGUAAAGCGUGCGUAGGUGGUCUUUUAAGUCGGAUGUGAAAUCCCUGAGCUUAACUUAGGAAUUGCAUUCGAUACUGGGAGACUAGAGUAUGGGAGAGGAUGGUAGAAUUCCAGGUGUAGCGGUGAAAUGCGUAGAGAUCUGGAGGAAUACCGAUGGCGAACGCAGCCAUCUGGCCUAAUACUGACACUGAGGCACGAAGCAUGGGGAGCAAACAGGAUUAGAUACCCUGGUAGUCCAUGCCGUAA